Molecule: transfer RNA, 72 nt
Filed under: Ictidomys tridecemlineatus (thirteen-lined ground squirrel)
Lineage: Eukaryota; Metazoa; Chordata; Mammalia; Rodentia; Sciuridae
Description: Spermophilus tridecemlineatus (thirteen-lined ground squirrel) tRNA
Rfam family: tRNA
About the family: Transfer RNA (tRNA) molecules are approximately 80 nucleotides in length. Their secondary structure includes four short double-helical elements and three loops (D, anti-codon, and T loops).
Source: Rfam by way of RNAcentral
CAGGUUGUGGCUUAGUGGUAGAGCACUUGCCUAGCAUGCGUGAGGCACUGGGUUCGAUCCCCGGCACCAUAU